This 1992-nucleotide ribosomal RNA is filed under the name human gut metagenome. RNAcentral's name for it is "bacterial LSU rRNA". It matches the Rfam family "Bacterial large subunit ribosomal RNA", at positions 911 to 2925 of the family's 2925-position model. The record is from RNAcentral.
UGAAUGUCCUAGGGGGUAUUGCACUUACCGAAGACUAUCAAACUCCGAAUGCCGUUUUCUUUUACUUGGGAGUCAGACUGUGGGUGAUAAGAUUCAUAGUCAAAAGGGCAACAGCCCAGAUCGUCAGCUAAGGUCCCUAAAUGUACGUUAAGUGGUAAAGGAUGUGGGAUUGCACAGACAACCAGGAUGUUGGCUUAGAAGCAGCCACUCAUUUAAAGAGUGCGUAAUAGCUCACUGGUCGAGUGAUCCUGCGCCGAAAAUUUCCGGGGCUAAAACGUACUACCGAAGCUACGGCAUCAUUUAUGAUGGGUAGGGGAGCUUCGUAUGCAGGCUGAAGCAUGACCGUAAGGACAUGUGGACAGUAUACGAGUGAGAAUGUUGGCAUGAGUAGCGAGACGUGGGUGAGAAUCCCACGGGCCGUAAACCCAAGGUUUCCAGGGGAAGGUUCGUCCGCCCUGGGUUAGUCGGGACCUAAGCCGAGGCCGAAAGGCGUAGGUGAUGGACAACAGGUUGAUAUUCCUGUACCGCCAAUAAGCGUUUGAGAGAUGGAGUGACACAGUAGGAUAAGCUAACCGUACUGUUGGUUAUGUACGGCUAAGCAUUGAGGCAGUCUAAAUAGGCAAAUCCGUUUAGACAAUGCUAGGAUGUGAUGGGGAAGCCCUUCGGGGCGAAGUAGCUGAUUUCACACUGUCAAGAAAAGCUUCUAUCGAGUUUAAAGGCGCCCGUACCGUAAACCGACACAGGUGGGUGAGGAGAGUAUCCUAAGGCCAGCGAGAGAACUAUUGUUAAGGAACUCGGCAAAAUGACCCCGUAACUUAGGGAGAAGGGGUGCCUGUCUAUGACAGGCCGCAGAGAAUAGGCCCAAGCGACUGUUUACCAAAAACACAGGUUUCUGCUAAGUCGCAAGACGAUGUAUAGGAGCUGACGCCUGCCCGGUGCUGGAAGGUUAAGGGGAUCUGUUAGAGCAAUCGAAGCAGUGAACUUAAGCCCCAGUAAACGGCGGCCGUAACUAUAACGGUCCUAAGGUAGCGAAAUUCCUUGUCGGGUAAGUUCCGACCCGCACGAAAGGCGUAACGAUUUGGGCACUGUCUCAACAAUAGACUCGGUGAAAUUGUAAUCCCGGUGAAGAUGCCGGGUACCUGCGACAGGACGGAAAGACCCCAUGGAGCUUUACUGUAGCUUGACGUUGGGUCUUGGUACUACAUGUACAGGAUAGGUGGGAGACUAUGAAGCAUGGACGCCAGUCUGUGUGGAGUCAUCCUUGGGAUACCACCCUUGUAGUACUGGGAUCCUAACCAUAGGCCUUGAAUCAGGUCUUGGAACACCGUCAGGUGGGCAGUUUGACUGGGGCGGUCGCCUCCUAAAAAGUAACGGAGGCGCUCAAAGGUUUCCUCAGCACGGUCGGAAAUCGUGCGAAGAGUGUAAAGGCAAAAGGAAGCUUGAUUGCAAGACAUACAGGUCGAGCAAGGACGAAAGUCGGACUUAGUGAUCCGGUGGUACCGCAUGGAAGGGCCAUCGCUCAACGGAUAAAAGCUACCCUGGGGAUAACAGGCUUAUCUCCCCCAAGAGUCCACAUCGACGGGGAGGUUUGGCACCUCGAUGUCGGCUCAUCACAUCCUGGGGCUGUAUUCGGUCCCAAGGGUUCGGCUGUUCGCCGAUUAAAGUGGUACGCGAGCUGGGUUCAGAACGUCGUGAGACAGUUCGGUCCCUAUCCGUCGCAGGCGUAGGAAAUUUGAGAAGACCUGUCCUUAGUACGAGAGGACCGGGAUGGACGUACCUCUGGUGUACCAGUUGUUCUGCCAAGGGCAUGGCUGGGUAGCUAUGUACGGAAUGGAUAAGCGCUGAAAGCAUCUAAGCGCGAAGCCAACUUCAAGAUAAGAUUUCCCACCGUAAGGGUAAGACCCCAGGAAGACUACCUGGUUGAUAGGUCGAAGGUGUAAGUGCAGUAAUGUAUUUAGCUUAUCGAUACUAAUAGGUCGAGGACUUGACCAA